UGCAUAUACUGCGAGUCGAGCGAAUGGAUUAAGAGCUUGCUCUUAUGAAGUUAGCGGCGGACGGGUGAGUAACACGUGGGUAACCUGCCCAUAAGACUGGGAUAACUCCGGGAAACCGGGGCUAAUACCGGAUAAUAUUUUGAACUGCAUGGUUCGAAAUUGAAAGGCGGCUUCGGCUGUCACUUAUGGAUGGACCCGCGUCGCAUUAGCUAGUUGGUGAGGUAACGGCUCACCAAGGCAACGAUGCGUAGCCGACCUGAGAGGGUGAUCGGCCACACUGGGACUGAGACACGGCCCAGACUCCUACGGGAGGCAGCAGUAGGGAAUCUUCCGCAAUGGACGAAAGUCUGACGGAGCAACGCCGCGUGAGUGAUGAAGGCUUUCGGGUCGUAAAACUCUGUUGUUAGGGAAGAACAAGUGCUAGUUGAAUAAGCUGGCACCUUGACGGUACCUAACCAGAAAGCCACGGCUAACUACGUGCCAGCAGCCGCGGUAAUACGUAGGUGGCAAGCGUUAUCCGGAAUUAUUGGGCGUAAAGCGCGCGCAGGUGGUUUCUUAAGUCUGAUGUGAAAGCCCACGGCUCAACCGUGGAGGGUCAUUGGAAACUGGGAGACUUGAGUGCAGAAGAGGAAAGUGGAAUUCCAUGUGUAGCGGUGAAAUGCGUAGAGAUAUGGAGGAACACCAGUGGCGAAGGCGACUUUCUGGUCUGUAACUGACACUGAGGCGCGAAAGCGUGGGGGAGCAAACAGGAUUAGAUACCCUGGUAGUCCACGCCGUAAACGAUGAGUGCUAAGUGUUAGAGUGUUCUCCGCCCUUUAGUGCUGAAGUAACGCAUAAGCACUCCGCCUGGGGAGUACGGCCGCUAGGCUGAAACUCAAAGAAAUUGACGGGGGCCCGCUACAGCGUGAGCAUGUUGUUUUAUUCGAAGCAACGCGAAAACCUACAGGUCUGACAUCUCUGACACCCUAGAGAUAGGACUCUC
RNAcentral lists this ribosomal RNA (982 nucleotides) under uncultured Bacillus sp. RNAcentral's name for it is "bacterial SSU rRNA". It matches the Rfam family "Bacterial small subunit ribosomal RNA", at positions 45 to 1016 of the family's 1533-position model. Lineage: Bacteria; Bacillati; Bacillota; Bacilli; Caryophanales; Bacillaceae. The record is from RNAcentral.